UACGGGGGGGGCGAGCGUUGUUCGGAAUUACUGGGCGUAAAGGGUUUGUAGGUGGUCUGCUAAGUCAGACGUGAAAUCCCUCAGCUUAACUGGGGAACUGCGUCUGAUACUGGCGGACUUGAGGACAGGAGAGGAACGCGGAAUUCCAGGUGUAGCGGUGAAAUGCGUAGAUAUCUGGAGGAACACCGGUGGCGAAGGCGGCGUUCUGGACUGUGUCUGACACUGAAAAACGAAAGCCAGGGGAGCAAACGGG
Molecule: ribosomal RNA, 253 nt
Filed under: uncultured bacterium
Lineage: Bacteria
Description: partial 16S ribosomal RNA
Rfam family: Bacterial small subunit ribosomal RNA
Source: RNAcentral